ACAUGAUUACAACAUAGAGUUGAUGCAUUGGAUCCCAUUAGAACUCCGUAGUGAAGUGCACUCGGGCUAGAGUAGUACUGGGAUGGUGAUUGCCUGGGAAUUCUUAAUAUUUUACAUGCC
Molecule: non-coding RNA, 120 nt
Organism: Picea glauca (white spruce)
Lineage: Eukaryota; Viridiplantae; Streptophyta; Pinopsida; Pinales; Pinaceae
Source: Rfam